Herpailurus yagouaroundi (jaguarundi) is the source of this 1813-nucleotide long non-coding RNA. RefSeq lists it as uncharacterized. The record is from RefSeq and is a predicted model, not a curated record. NCBI's taxonomy places the organism in Eukaryota, Metazoa, Chordata, Mammalia, Carnivora, Felidae. The transcript is spliced from 2 exons.
UAAUGAGGUUGACAUUUUAGACUUCUAGAAGCCAAGCUCCUAAUCUGAAAGAAAGGAAGGAAGGUGAUGAGAUGGCAACUCCAGUCAAUAGAAACAGAGCUGCUCUCUUCAUAGCGCCUUGUCGCCAGGUCCAAAGGCACUCCUGGAGCCAAGCCUUCCCUCCGCUGAAGGCACAGGACCCACCGAGGGCCAUCCUCUGCUUCUUCUGGCUGGAAACAUCACAGUGCCUCCUGUCGGCCCCCAAUCCGGGUUUCUCCCAUGGUGCUGCUGAGACCCAGCACUGCCAAGCACAUCCUGGCCAGGCACCCUUCAAAGCAACGUCUCACGUGGCCACAAACCUAACUUUUGCCUUUUCCCAGGAAUAAGGAUUGAACUCAGAAAUUGAAAGUGAGUUGGCGUUUUGCAAUUGACAUCUUGAAAGUGGAAAGAACACAUUUUCAAAAGCUAGCUAGCUCCACACCUACAUGAAGAGGCAGAGGAAGGUUACCUUGGUUUCCCUGUUCUCCAGACCACACCCAUCACUUUGGUGACAAUCAUUUCUUUAUUGGUCUUAAGCUUCCCUCAGUCCCCUGAGUCCACGUAAGUGAAGGAGGUUCAGGUCCCCACAGGGGCUGCUUAGCUUCUCUUUGCUGCUCCUCAGCUGUUCCCUCCUUCCUGGUGGCCUAUGGCUGUGUGAUGCUUCUGCCUCUCCAUCUACUCUCUCAGUCCGGCAUCCACGACAUUUGCUCCCCCCACCCCCACCAAUGCACUAGACGUGGCGUAACGUGCCUCCCACACACACAGCACCAGCACCUGCAGCGGUCAUCACUGUACCCAGCCCCACUUACCUCAGUGCCUAGUAUACAGCAGGCAGUGAGUAAGCAUUUAUUGACAGGCUGACCAACUGGCUAUAGGUAAGAUUCUUGCCUUUUGGGACAACCUCCCUACCGCUGAGAAGUCUAUUAUCUUUGCUCAAGAGUUGUAACUCAGUGACGGAAAUUCAGACAGUUAAUUAUCUUUCUUUAGGCUAGGUUAUUUAUGGAAAUAGGAUGCUUGGUGGCUUGCCCUGACAUCCCAAGUUCCUUGAGAAGUUGUGAAAUAACUGCCCUUCUGUAAUUCCAUUAAUUUUUUAAUGGUCACCUAAGUUAAGUAGUUUCUACAUAAUUUUCAUAUGCAAAUUCUGAGGCCUAAGUGUUUCAAAUUCAAUGAAAGUUAACGGUGUAUAUUUUCAUUUUUGAAAACUCACACUGAGAUAAAAGUCUUAGGUAAAAAUAUUCACAGCAGUUGGCAGAAUUAUUUGAGCAAUUAUUUAAUGUAAAGGAAAUGAUCUCUUGAAUUAAAAAGUUACAGAGAACGACCUUCAGAACUGUCAUUUUAAGGCAAGAUUGCACAGGUGUGACUGUUUUCACUGUCCCAGAGCACAUUUGUAAGUCAAACAAGUGCAUAAAUACCAAAACAGAAGUCAGAAAAUUAUGACUGAGUUCCUCUGUUACCACCAUUCCAAACGAUCUCUUUGCAAACAAGGAGCUUUCUCUUAAAAACAUUCUGAGCACUUUAACCACAGAUGUUCUCUUAAAAGAAUCUGUAUGUCUCAUUGACUAUAAAACAGUGACACACACAAAUAUACCAAAAGAGAUAGGAGAGCCACAUUACCCUAGAAUACACACAAAUUGCAACUCAAAUAGGGACAGAAGGAAGGAAAAAGCAAGGCAAAUAUGUUGCAUACAUUUUGGAGUUUGGAGAGAGGCAGUCAAGACAGUGGACUGUAAGUAUUUUCUGGAUGUCUGAUUUUCACUGUAGGCAUGUGUCAAAUUUGCUUCUUUGACCAACAAUU